Molecule: ribosomal RNA, 468 nt
Filed under: uncultured bacterium
Lineage: Bacteria
Description: partial 16S ribosomal RNA
Rfam family: Bacterial small subunit ribosomal RNA
Source: RNAcentral
GACGAACGCUGGCGGCGUGCUUAACACAUGCAAGUCGAACGGAAAGGCCCUGCUUUUGUGGGGUGCUCGAGUGGCGAACGGGUGAGUAACACGUGAGUAACCUGCCCUUGACUUUGGGAUAACUUCAGGAAACUGGGGCUAAUACCGUAUAGGAGCUCCUGCUGCAUGGUGGGGGUGGGAAAGUUUCGGCGGUUGGGGAUGGACUCGCGGCUUAUCAGCUUGUUGGUGGGGUAGUGGCUUACCAAGGCUUUGACGGGUAGCCGGCCUGAGAGGGUGACCGGCCACAUUGGGACUGAGAUACGGCCCAGACUCCUACGGGAGGCAGCAGUGGGGAAUAUUGCACAAUGGGCGGAAGCCUGAUGCAGCAACGCCGCGUGCGGGAUGACGGCCUUCGGGUUGUAAACCGCUUUCGCCUGUGACGAAGCGUGAGUGACGGUAAUGGGUAAAGAAGCACCGGCUAACUACGUG